ACGGGAGGCAGCAGUGGGGAAUAUUGGGCAAUGGGCGCAAGCCUGACCCAGCAACGCCGCGUGAGUGAAGAAGUAUUUCGGUAUGUAAAGCUCUAUCAGCAAGGAAGAAAAUGACGGUACGUGACUAAGAAGCCCCGGCUAACUACGUGCCAGCAGCCGCGGUAAUACGUAGGGGGCAAGCGUUAUCCGGAUUUACUGGGUGUAAAGGGAGCGUAGACGGCAAAGCAAGUCUGAAGUGAAAUCCCGGGGCUCAACCCUGGAACUGCUUUGGAAACUGUUUAGCUAGAGUGCAGGAGAGGUAAGUGGAAUUCCUAGUGUAGCGGUGAAAUGCGUAGAUAUUAGGAGGAACACCAGUGGCGAAGGCGGCUUACUGGACUGUAACUGACGUUGAGGCUCGAAAGCGUGGGGAGCAAACAGGAUUAGAUACCCUGGUA
Molecule: ribosomal RNA, 434 nt
Filed under: uncultured Clostridium sp.
Lineage: Bacteria; Bacillati; Bacillota; Clostridia; Eubacteriales; Clostridiaceae
Description: partial 16S ribosomal RNA
Rfam family: Bacterial small subunit ribosomal RNA
Source: RNAcentral